UACGUAGGGCGCAAGCGUUGUCCGGAAUUAUUGGGCGUAAAGAGCUCGUAGGCGGCUUGUCACGUCGGGUGUGAAAGCCCGGGGCUCAACCCCGGAGGUGCGGCCGAGACUGCAGGGCUGGAGGCCGGAAGAGGAGGGUGGAAUACCCAGUGUAGAGGUGAAAUUCGUAGAUAUUGGGUGGAACACCGGUGGCGAAAGCGGCUCUCUGGUCCGGACCUGACGCUGAGGCGCGAAAGCGUGGGGAGCAAACAGG
This 253-nucleotide ribosomal RNA is filed under the name uncultured bacterium. RNAcentral's name for it is "partial 16S ribosomal RNA". It matches the Rfam family "Bacterial small subunit ribosomal RNA", at positions 524 to 776 of the family's 1533-position model. The record is from RNAcentral.